AGACAUUAGAUAGCAGGGUCCAUUUGAACUACACAGCUGUCUACCUACAACAUACUUCCACUAAUGUCACAUUUGUCCAGGCAGCAGAACUCUUUUGAUUAGACUGUAUGUUAAAGGCAGACCUUUAUAAAUUCCCUUAUCUGCACUGGACCAGCCUAAGCUGACUGUGACUAGAAAAGGGAAUGUAUGCAGUCAGCACACAGAGACAGAAGGGGAGGGACAACUAUGCUUAGCAAUGACAAACCAUCUUCUGCCACAAUCACUAGCCAUAAGAGGUUGAAGUGUUUAUCACAACCACAGCUACAUUUUCCACUAUCCCAAAAUAAGAUUCUUUCAGAAUUCCUUAUAUGGGCUCAAGGAGACUCUAAAUACUCUGGUGUCUUGGAGAAUGCACAGGAAUAGCCCAGGAACUUUUUUGUUGCAUUUUUUAUUGAGUUUUGGUCAACAUAAAUACUCUGCUAUUUCUGUUAGUGGAGAUACAUUGUUUAUGUAAUCCAAUCCAGAGUAUUUACAACACUACAGAUGUACAGAUGAACAAGUGAUUUUAGAAUUUUAUGAUGAAUUCUUCAUUAUGCAGGUAUGACAAUUUUCUUGUUACUAUUUUCUAGCCAGUGACAUUUGCACCCAUGGUAUACCACAUAACAUAACAACAGUAAAGUCUGGCAUGUCUAUCACCAUCUCUCUCUCUCUCUCUCUCUCUCUCUCUCUGUCUCUCUCACACACACACACACACAAACUAAUUAAAC
Molecule: long non-coding RNA, 746 nt
Organism: Tachysurus vachellii
Lineage: Eukaryota; Metazoa; Chordata; Actinopteri; Siluriformes; Bagridae
Exons: 2
Source: RefSeq, a predicted model, not a curated record